GGGGAGAUGGCUCAGCGGUUAAAAGCACUGACUGCUCUUCCAGAGGUCCUGAGUUCAAUUCCCAGCAACCACA
This 73-nucleotide transfer RNA is filed under the name Mus musculus (house mouse). RNAcentral describes it as "tRNA-Ser". Lineage: Eukaryota; Metazoa; Chordata; Mammalia; Rodentia; Muridae. The record is from RNAcentral.